RNAcentral lists this ribosomal RNA (496 nucleotides) under uncultured bacterium. RNAcentral describes it as "partial 16S ribosomal RNA". It matches the Rfam family "Bacterial small subunit ribosomal RNA", at positions 29 to 507 of the family's 1533-position model. The record is from RNAcentral.
AUGAACGCUGGCGGCGUGCCUAAUACAUGCAAGUCGAGCGAACGGACGAGAAGCUUGCUUCUCUGAUGUUAGCGGCGGACGGGUGAGUAACACGUGGAUAACCUACCUAUAAGACUGGGAUAACUUCGGGAAACCGGAGCUAAUACCGGAUGAUAUUUUGAACCGCAUGGUUCAAAAGUGAAAGACGGUCUUGCUGUCACUUAUAGAUGGAUCCGCGCUGCAUUAGCUAGUUGGUAAGGUAACGGCUUACCAAGGCAACGAUGCAUAGCCGACCUGAGAGGGUGAUCGGCCACACUGGAGCUGAGACACGGUCCAGACUCCUACGGGAGGCAGCAGUAGGGAAUCUUCCGCAAUGGGCGAAAGCCUGACGGAGCAACGCCGCGUGAGUGAUGAAGGUCUUCGGAUCGUAAAACUCUGUUAUUAGGGAAGAACAAAUGUGUAAGUAACUAUGCACGUCUUGACGGUACCUAAUCAGAAAGCCACGGCUAACUACGUG